CAGUGAUGGCCGUGUAGUGGACUGCCAUGGCGUUGACGGGAGCGGGGGAUUAGGGUUCGAUUCCGGAGAGGGAGCCUGAGAAAUAGCUACCACUUCUACGGAGGGCAGCAGGCGCGCAAAUUGCCCAAUGUCAAAAAAAAACGAUGAGGCAGCGAAAAGAAAUAGAGCCGACGGUGCCUAGUGCAUUGUCGUAUUCAAUGGGGGAUAUUUAAACCCAUCCAAAAUCGAUUAACAAUUGGAGGACAAGUCUGGUGCCAGCACCCGCGGUAAUUCCAGCUCCAAAAGCGUAUAUUAAUGCUGU
Molecule: ribosomal RNA, 301 nt
Filed under: Trypanosoma sp.
Lineage: Eukaryota; Euglenozoa; Kinetoplastea; Trypanosomatida; Trypanosomatidae
Description: partial 18S ribosomal RNA
Rfam family: Eukaryotic small subunit ribosomal RNA
Source: RNAcentral